CUCUUAAAGAGACAGAGGAAGAGAUUAAGAAACUCCCUUUAACAAGCCCCUCUUCCUACAUGAAGCCUUUCUUAUCUUCUCUCAGUUAUCAGUACUUGUUCCCUCCUUAGAUUUGUUUAUUUUUCUAUUAACAUGUUAUGACCCUCUUCCUUCCUUCCACUAGGAUGAUAGCUACUUAAGAAGAAGGGAUUACUAAGGAGUCGCUGCACAGUGUAAAGAAGCACAAGGUCAAGGAGACCAACAAUCCCUGCGAGGAUCUUCACCGAGAGAGAGGACUUGUUUUGAGGUGCAUCUCUCUGUGCUUGGUUUCCAGGAUCUUCUCUCAAUUGAGUUUCCCAUUCAAAGAACUAGGAUGCUCAAAAACAGGAGUAAUUGAAGUGAGGGAAGGAGAGGGAGGUGUGUGGCUUUAUGAUAAGGACUCAUCAUCUAUAUUGGAAUGUCAAGACACAAAUCCAAGAAAAGAAUGGAAAUAUUUCAGAGAAAGGAAGGAAGAGGACAAGUAUAUUUGAUUUUUAUUCAAACCUGACCAUCUUAAGAUUUCCAUGCUAACAGUGGGAAAGAAGAGAGAAAGCAUAAAUAUCGGGGAAAACUCAUUUUUCGAAAGUUCCAGCCCACCCAGAAGAGGUUUUCCCUUCUAAAGCUGGUACUUCUUGCUUUUUUGAAGAGCUGCUACUUCCAUCUGUUGCUUCUGCUGAGCUGCUACUAUCAUCAGCUUUCUCUAUGCCAAGUUGCAGUUGCUAGGUAUCUCCUUACAAACAUGAAUGCAUCGCAGCUCUUUUGUGAGUUAUCCCAUAGUUUUCAAGGUUCUUCCUUUUUUAUAAAGCCAGAACCAUAAUAUGUUCAGUCAUCACAAGAGUUAUUCAGGUUGAAUAUUUCUUUUAAAUUGACUCUCUCCUUCCCUUAGAAAAAUCUUUUCUAGUACCCAAAAAAUUGGGUUGGAGAGAGUAAAUGUCUUCUAGUUUGCAUCAUGCCCUUGGAAACUAGCACCAGAGUCAUGAAGACUUAUGUAGGAAAAAUUUAACUGUACCUGAAGAGUUGGUGACCUUUGUCUUGCAACCUGGCAAUCAAUUAAUAUAUUACUUUGUUUUGGAGAACAGUUGAUACUUCACUUGAUAAUCAUAAGAAUUAUUAUAAGAGUUAGACUCCAGUUCAAAUGAGAUUUUUAGAACUUUUCUUUUAGUGGGUUUUUAAAAAUAUCUUUCAAAUCAUUGGUUUAAUAAAGCAAUCUUAAGUUUUGCCUCUCUCCA
RNAcentral lists this long non-coding RNA (1247 nucleotides) under Monodelphis domestica (gray short-tailed opossum). RNAcentral's name for it is "lncRNA (ENSMODG00000035491.2)". The record is from RNAcentral. Lineage: Eukaryota; Metazoa; Chordata; Mammalia; Didelphimorphia; Didelphidae.